Molecule: long non-coding RNA, 179 nt
Organism: Bufo bufo (common toad)
Lineage: Eukaryota; Metazoa; Chordata; Amphibia; Anura; Bufonidae
Exons: 3
Source: RefSeq, a predicted model, not a curated record
AAAGAAAUCCUGCACAGAAUUAUAAAGAUAUGGGAUUCAGUCUAAAUGAACCUGUGCACCUGAGACUUCUGGCCCGAUCAUUUGUAGAUGGCCUUAGGCCAGACCUGAACAAAGCUCUUGUUACCUGUCGCCCAGAAUGGAAAUCAUUAACCUUAGAAAUCUUAGAACAAAUUGCAAAA